RNAcentral lists this transfer RNA (56 nucleotides) under Bacillota bacterium. RNAcentral's name for it is "Firmicutes bacterium (anaerobic digester metagenome) tRNA-Gly". It matches the Rfam family "tRNA", at positions 9 to 63 of the family's 71-position model. From Rfam's summary of the family: Transfer RNA (tRNA) molecules are approximately 80 nucleotides in length. Their secondary structure includes four short double-helical elements and three loops (D, anti-codon, and T loops). Further hydrogen bonds mediate the characteristic L-shaped molecular structure. tRNAs have two regions of fundamental functional importance: the anti-codon, which is responsible for specific mRNA codon recognition, and the 3' end, to which the tRNAs corresponding amino acid is attached (by aminoacyl-tRNA synthetases). tRNAs cope with the degeneracy of the genetic code in two manners: having more than one tRNA (with a specific anti-codon) for a particular amino acid; and 'wobble' base-pairing, i.e. permitting non-standard base-pairing at the 3rd anti-codon position. The record is from RNAcentral. Lineage: Bacteria; Bacillati; Bacillota.
AGCUCAAUGGUAGAGCACCGGCCUUCCAAGCCGGCUAUGUGAGUUCGAUUCUCAUC